GCCUUCGUGGUGUAAUGGUCAGCAUCCUGAGCCGGUAUUUCAGAGGUCCGUGGUUCGAUCCCCGGCGAAGGCA
Molecule: non-coding RNA, 73 nt
Organism: Stegodyphus mimosarum
Lineage: Eukaryota; Metazoa; Arthropoda; Arachnida; Araneae; Eresidae
Source: Rfam